Molecule: ribosomal RNA, 492 nt
Filed under: uncultured bacterium
Lineage: Bacteria
Description: partial 16S ribosomal RNA
Rfam family: Bacterial small subunit ribosomal RNA
Source: RNAcentral
AGUGAACGCUGGCGGUAGGCCUAACACAUGCAAGUCGAACGGCAGCACAGUAAGAGCUUGCUCUUACGGGUGGCGAGUGGCGGACGGGUGAGGAAUACAGCGGCAUCUACUUUUUCGUGGGGGAUAACGUAGGGAAACUUACGCUCAUACCGCAUACGACCUACGGGUGAAUGCAGGGGAUCUUCUGACCUUGCGCUACUUAAUGUACCGAUGUCGGAUUAGCUAGUUGGCGGGGUAAAGGCCCACCAAGGCGACGAUCCGUAGCUGGUCUGAGAGGAUGGUCAGCCACAGUGGAACUGAGACACGGUCCAGACUCCUACGGGAGGCAGCAGUGGGGAAUAGUGGACAAUGGGCGCAAGCCUGAUCCAGCCAUACCGCGUGGGUGAAGAAGGCCUUCGGGUUGUAAAGCCCUUUUGUUGGGAAAGAAAAGCAGCAGGUUAAUACCCCGCUGUUCUGACGGUACCCAAAGAAUAAGCACCGGCUAACUUCGUG